CCAUGUGAUGGAUGUAUGCAUGAAUGCUUCCCUGUUGACUAAUUAUAUAGAUGUAUAUGCAAGAGUUACAAUAGGGGUUGAGUAUCCCUAAUGUAUUAUAUUAUUAGCUGUAUCUUUCUUUUGUAUGUUCUCAACUAUUGAUUGAGACUUUUAUAUAUUGAUAUAAAAUUAUAAAAAAAAAUUAUUUGAGAAUAGAUAAAAAUUAUCUCUUUCUAUUUUCAGAUAAAGAUCGAGUAUUCAUGGAAGUCUUCAUGGAGAUGAAGACUGGACUACCAGA
RNAcentral lists this long non-coding RNA (277 nucleotides) under Elaeis guineensis (African oil palm). Its description in RNAcentral is "long non-coding RNA (EGUI_LNC051315)". The record is from RNAcentral. Lineage: Eukaryota; Viridiplantae; Streptophyta; Magnoliopsida; Arecales; Arecaceae.